AUGUUUCUGUGGAUAGUUGAUUCCCCUCAAUCUCUAAGACAAGCAGAAAACAGAUUUGUUAGGUCAUUGGACACAAUUGUAAGGAAGUUUGAUAAGGUUUUGGCCUGCCUGAUCAAGCUCGCAAAAGACAUCAUCAAGCCAACAGAUCCUCAAUUCAAAACUAUGCAUUCAAAACUAAGAUCUAGAAAGUAUGCACCAUUUAUGGACGAUUGCAUUGGAGCAAUAGAUGGGACACACAUACAAGUUGUGGUACCAGUUGCCACUGCUGUCCAGCAUAGGAAUAGACAUAAGGAGAAGAGUCAGAAUGUGAUGUGUGUGUGUGACUUUAAUAUGAGAUUCACAUUUGUCCUAGCCGGCUGGCCAGGAUCGGUGCAUGACAUGAGGGUCUUCAAUGAUGCCCGAUCCAGAUUUGGUGACAAGUUUCCAAAACCUCCACCUAAAAAGUUCUAUCUUGUGGACUCAGGAUACCCAAAUAGACCUGGUUAUCUUGCACCAUACAAGGGUUUAACCUAUCAUUUUCAGGAGUACCGUGAUGGCACAAUGCCUAGAGGAAAAAUGGAACACUUCAAUUUCAGCCAUUGUUCACUUAGAAAUGUCAUCGAGAGUUGUUUUGGAGUCUUGAAGAACAAGUGGAGGAUUUUGUUUCACUUACCUAGUUAUCCACAACAGAAACAAAGCAAAAUCAUUGUGGCUUGCAUUGCACUGCACAAUUUCAUUAGAGAAAGUCAACUAGCUGAUAUAGAUUUCGACAAGUGUGAUCAAGAUGAAAAUUAUAUACCAUUGCCUGUGCCAACGACCACUCCAACAUAUGAUUCAACCAAUGAGAUGGAUAGUGCUGCUAUGAAUCAAUUUAUAAAUUGGGUCGCUGAUGGGUUGUGGAGCUUGAAACAGCAAUGA
Molecule: ribosomal RNA, 897 nt
Filed under: Triticum aestivum (bread wheat)
Lineage: Eukaryota; Viridiplantae; Streptophyta; Magnoliopsida; Poales; Poaceae
Description: partial small subunit ribosomal RNA
Source: RNAcentral